This 612-nucleotide long non-coding RNA is filed under the name Crocodylus porosus (Australian saltwater crocodile). Its description in RNAcentral is "lncRNA (ENSCPRG00005005408.1)". The record is from RNAcentral. Lineage: Eukaryota; Metazoa; Chordata; Crocodylia; Crocodylidae.
GCAAGACUUGAAGCUUAGUACUGAUGCAUGUCUGUUCAAGUGGUUGGUAGGCUUCUCUAACUAAGCUAAAAGUCCUGAUAAUUUUCUUCCCACAGAGCAUCUGUAGUAUACUCUGAGGAUUCCCUGGUUCCUGCAGCUUGAUCAAAUUGAGAGAGAGCGAUAUCUUCUAAACACUAAAAAAACAGCAUAACUGAAUUUUACAUCUUUCUUCAAUAAUAGCAGUAAAAGGUCCUGAACCGGUGCUCCAGACUUCGGAGUAUUCAAAAUCUAAACACAGCUCCAUAAGAAAAAGAUCUUGCUUUUUUUGAUGGAUGAACCAGAAACCUGGAUGAGAACGUAACAGAUUUCAGGAUGUUCAGAAUCCAAGAUUCAUACCUUGAGACUUGAUCCCACAUCCAACAAAAAAUGGGGAUGAGUAUUCAAUCCAGAGGCUUCUCUUUGCAAAGGCCAAGAAACACAGUCAUGUUGACAGCAGCGACGUGUACUUGGGAACCACAAAGUCAAGAGGGUACUUUAGGGCUACCUGACAGCGCGUGGACCUCUUAUUUGCAGAUGUAAUUUCAGACUCAUGACCUCCAGUUCCUUUAUACUGUCCUGCUAAAUCUGAGCUUU